This 253-nucleotide ribosomal RNA is filed under the name uncultured bacterium. RNAcentral describes it as "partial 16S ribosomal RNA". It matches the Rfam family "Bacterial small subunit ribosomal RNA", at positions 524 to 776 of the family's 1533-position model. The record is from RNAcentral.
UACGGAGGGGGCAAGCGUUAUUCGGACUUACUGGGCGUAAAGCGCGUGUAGGCGGGAAAGCAAGUCUGAUGUGAAAGCCCCGGGCUUAACCUGGGAAGUGCAUUGGAAACUGUUUUUCUUGAGUACUGGAGAGGAAGGGAGAAUUCCCGGUGUAGAGGUGAAAUUCGUAGAGAUCGGGAGGAACACCAGUGGCGAAGGCGCCCUUCUGGACGGUUACUGGCGCUGAGACGCGAAAGCGUGGGGAGCAAACAGG